This 46-nucleotide non-coding RNA is filed under the name Schistosoma mattheei. The record is from RNAcentral. Lineage: Eukaryota; Metazoa; Platyhelminthes; Trematoda; Strigeidida; Schistosomatidae.
ACACUGCUGAAGAGUCCCAUAAUAGGAUGAAACGACCGUCCAGUGC